GAUGAACGCUGGCGGCGUGCCUUAUACAUGCAAGUCGAAUGGGUUUAGACUCACUGCAACCGGUUGAGUAACACGUAUGUACUUUCCUUGUCACAGGAAUAACCCUCCGAAAUUAGGGCUAAUACCUGAUGUGAUCGCAAUAUCAAAGUGUAUCCGCAAUGAUUACCGGACAAGAAGAGGCCUGCUGCCUAUCAGCUAGUUGGCGGGGUAAAUGCCCACCAAGGCUAUGACGGGUAGCUGGUCUUAUGAGGAUGAUCAGUCACAUGGGCACUGAGACACGGGCCCAACUCCUACGGGAGGCAGCAGUAGGGAAUUUUGCGCAAUGGGCGAAAGCCUGAAGCAGCGACGCGGCGUGAGGGAUGAAGGUCUUCGGGUAGUAAACCGCGUUUAUAACGGACGAACUUUGACGGUACCUGAUGAAUAAGAGGCUGCUAACUAUGUG
This 442-nucleotide ribosomal RNA is filed under the name uncultured bacterium. RNAcentral describes it as "partial 16S ribosomal RNA". It matches the Rfam family "Bacterial small subunit ribosomal RNA", at positions 28 to 507 of the family's 1533-position model. The record is from RNAcentral.